UUGAGGAAGUUGAUGCGGAUGCAGCCAAGUGUUUGGUGUACGUCAGUGAUGUGUUGUUAUAGUUGUUUCUGAACUCAUAAUACUAACUGUGGCUGAGUUUUACUGUUCAACUAUGCAGUGUUCUUUAAUUAUAUGAGUUUGAUGAAGCAGGAGAACAUGAACCUAAUGCGAAUAUGUUGCACAGAUCCAGAAGUCGUGGAUUCACUGUGUUGUCUACAUGUUCUUACUCUGAUGAAGAGUGAAAAACAAUAAAGAAGAGUGUCAUGUCUGAAAAUUGGAGGUGGAAUAAAAACUCAUU
RNAcentral lists this long non-coding RNA (298 nucleotides) under Brassica napus (rape). Its description in RNAcentral is "long non-coding RNA (BNAP_LNC010739)". The record is from RNAcentral. Lineage: Eukaryota; Viridiplantae; Streptophyta; Magnoliopsida; Brassicales; Brassicaceae.